Molecule: small RNA, 377 nt
Filed under: Arabidopsis thaliana (thale cress)
Lineage: Eukaryota; Viridiplantae; Streptophyta; Magnoliopsida; Brassicales; Brassicaceae
Description: ATSL035580
Source: RNAcentral
UGAAAGAUUCAUGAGUGCGAAGGGUAGAGUUAAGUUGGGACUAGAGUUGAGAUUACCAUUAGAGCUUCAUUGUUAUACUCUGGGUAGAUGGGAUCUUAUCUCUAUAUGCAUAACUUGGGACUUACCUUUAGCAUUCUACUAAAGCUCAAUCAUUCUUGAGAGAUCCCCUGGUACUUAAGCCUAUUCUGUAAGGGACCAUCUUUGUCUCUUGACCUUCACCUUAGCCAAAUGAGUUCAUUGACGAUGCAUUGCUUGAUUCACGUUCCAGAACUAAUGAAUGUUAAAGGGAUUGGUAGAUUUGAAAGCAUGUGUAGGUCGAGUAUAAGAGACAGAUUGAUUGAUAACAAGGUAUGGCUAACGUUUUUGAGUAAAAUUCA